UACGGAGGGAGCUAGCGUUGUUCGGAAUUACUGGGCGUAAAGCGCACGUAGGCGGCUUUGUAAGUUAGAGGUGAAAGCCCGGGGCUCAACUCCGGAACUGCCUUUAAGACUGCAUCGCUUGAAUCCAGGAGAGGUGAGUGGAAUUCCGAGUGUAGAGGUGAAAUUCGUAGAUAUGGGGAGGAACACCGGUGGCGAAGGCGACCAUCUGGACGGAUACUGCCGCUGAGACGCGAAAGCGUGGGGAGCAAACAGG
This 253-nucleotide ribosomal RNA is filed under the name uncultured bacterium. RNAcentral describes it as "partial 16S ribosomal RNA". It matches the Rfam family "Bacterial small subunit ribosomal RNA", at positions 524 to 776 of the family's 1533-position model. The record is from RNAcentral.